AGAGUUUGAUCCUGGCUCAGAACGAACGCCGGCGGCAGGCUUAACACAUGCAAGUCGAACGCAUCGCAAGAUGAGUGGCAGACGGGUGAGUAACACGUGGGAACAUACCCUUUGGUGCGGAACAACAGCUGGAAACGGCUGCUAAUACCGCAUGCGCCCUACGGGGGAAAGAUUUAUCGCCGAAGGAUUGGCCCGCGUCUGAUUAGCUAGUUGGUGAGGUAAUGGCUCACCAAGGCGACGAUCAGUAGCUGGUCUGAGAGGAUGAUCAGCCACACUGGGACUGAGACACGGCCCAGACUCCUACGGGAGGCAGCGGUGGGGAAUAUUGGACAAUGGGCGCAAGCCUGAUCCAGCCAUGCCGCGUGAGUGAUGAAGGCCCUAGGGUUGUAAAGCUCUUUCAGCGAGGAGGAUAAUGACGUACUCGCAGAAGAAAUUGCAAUUUC
RNAcentral lists this ribosomal RNA (443 nucleotides) under uncultured Achromobacter sp. RNAcentral describes it as "bacterial SSU rRNA". It matches the Rfam family "Bacterial small subunit ribosomal RNA", at positions 8 to 504 of the family's 1533-position model. Lineage: Bacteria; Pseudomonadati; Pseudomonadota; Betaproteobacteria; Burkholderiales; Alcaligenaceae. The record is from RNAcentral.